GGGCGGGUAGCUCAGUGGUAGAGCGCCUCCCUUACAAGGAGGACGUCGUCGGUUCGACCCCGGCCCCGCCCACCA
Molecule: transfer RNA, 75 nt
Filed under: Deltaproteobacteria bacterium
Lineage: Bacteria; Pseudomonadati; Myxococcota; Myxococcia
Description: tRNA-Val
Rfam family: tRNA
About the family: Transfer RNA (tRNA) molecules are approximately 80 nucleotides in length.
Source: RNAcentral